This 880-nucleotide long non-coding RNA is filed under the name Daucus carota (carrot). Its description in RNAcentral is "long non-coding RNA (DCAR_LNC006350)". The record is from RNAcentral. Lineage: Eukaryota; Viridiplantae; Streptophyta; Magnoliopsida; Apiales; Apiaceae.
AGAUUAUGUAGACCGCGUAAAGGUUUUAGACUACACGCCCCAUCCUAAAUAAUUAAGUGGCUCUUGCUUCUUUCCUGGAAGCAAGAUACUGAAACUGGUGAUUUCAAAGCAUACAUCUCUUGUAACUUAUGCAGUAACAUCUCCUGAAUGAUUUCUAUAUUUAAUGAUAUACAUCUGAUUUACCUGGACAAAAUCUAUAUGGAUAAUCUACACGCGAGUGUUGCAGCUUUGAAAAAGCUUCCAGAGGCCGGAGGCAAUUAUCUGUCAAACAAUCUUCUCUCAAGGGUUUCAGAUGGUGCACACUUCAAUCAUUUUAUAGCAAGUUUGGAUAUAUCGUGUUGCAGGCUUUCUAAAUUAGUAGCAAAUUUUUUCUUUUAUGUCAUGUAUUGUUUUUGGCGGUUGAGAAACAGAAAUACAUUUCGUUGGACGUUGGUACCACUUCCUUAAGCAACAUAUCUUCGGCUUAGAACAUAAAUAUGGUAUGCAAAAUUUUAUAUUUGUUUCAGUUUUAUAAAGAUUAGUGACAUUUCUAAUGCGGAAGUCAAUUGUUAUCGUGUAUUAGUUCCUUUAAGAAGAUAUGUUAUAUUUUCUUUUUAACACUGAGCAGCUUCUAUGAGGAAGGACCAUACGAGUAGAGUUUUCCCAGCGAUCUGUCAACAAAACACGUUUUGAAGCAUUUCCACUCAGCGAUAAUGCACUGGCACACUAUCAAUCUAUUUUAAAGUCCAGCCUUGCUGUAAUGACUAUGUCAGGAUAAUGUGUGAAAUGUAAUUAAUUUUUAUUCAGUUAUAGUCAAGUUCACAGUGACAAAUGCGGGUCGUAUGCUCAAGAACACAAAUGCAAUUAAUUUUUAUUCAGUUAUAGUCAAGUUAUAGCUAGU